This 199-nucleotide ribosomal RNA is filed under the name uncultured bacterium. RNAcentral's name for it is "partial 16S ribosomal RNA". It matches the Rfam family "Bacterial small subunit ribosomal RNA", at positions 1305 to 1500 of the family's 1533-position model. The record is from RNAcentral.
CUGCAACUCGACCCCAUGAAGUCGGAGUCGCUAGUAAUCGCAGAUCAGCAACGCUGCGGUGAAUACGUUCCCGGGCCUUGUACACACCGCCCGUCAAGUCACGAAAGUUGGUAACACCCGAAGCCGAUGGCCUAACCCGUUUGGGAGGGAGUCGUCGAAGGUGGGAUUGGCGAUUGGGGCUAAGUCGUAACAAGGUACC